Xiphophorus couchianus (Monterrey platyfish) is the source of this 485-nucleotide long non-coding RNA. RefSeq lists it as uncharacterized. Lineage: Eukaryota; Metazoa; Chordata; Actinopteri; Cyprinodontiformes; Poeciliidae. The record is from RefSeq and is a predicted model, not a curated record. The transcript has 4 exons.
UCCUCAUGUGGAAACCUUCCCUGAGUGAAUCUCUGGAACCCACCACCAGUGAAACAAUUACCUUCCAGAUAUUCUGCUCCGCAGCUCACAACAUUCAAGCUCCUGAGACCUGCUUCCUCUGUGCAACCUGUCCCAAUAAACAUCGACAUCCUUCAGACACACUUCACUCACGGUUCUCACCCCGCAUUCCCUCACUCGCUCCACUGGCUCUCAUCAUCUGCAGUCCAAGGUCUGCGACUGUAAGCUGAGACAUUUGUGAUGCCCUCACGCUGCCAGAGUUAUGUAGUCUGGGGGACAACGAGCUGGGGCCGUCAGGAGAGGAGCUGUGUCAAAGUUAUGCACAAAUAACCGUUUGACAUUAAAAAGUCUGAACACAGCUCAUUCUUUCACUGACGCCAUCAGAUUCCUGAGCCACAACAGCUUUGAAGAGUUUCUGGAUCUUCUCCAGACCUCACAUUCUGUGUAAGAAAUAUUUAUCCAUGUUU